Molecule: ribosomal RNA, 464 nt
Filed under: uncultured bacterium
Lineage: Bacteria
Description: bacterial SSU rRNA
Rfam family: Bacterial small subunit ribosomal RNA
Source: RNAcentral
UCCAGACUCCUACGGGAGGCAGCAGUGAGGAAUAUUGGUCAAUGGCCGUAAGGCUGAACCAGCCAAGUAGCGUGAGGGAAGACUGCCCUAUGGGUUGUAAACCUCUUUUAUGCGGGGAUAAAGGUGUCCACGUGUGGAUGUUUGCAGGUACCGCAUGAAUAAGGACCGGCUAAUUCCGUGCCAGCAGCCGCGGUAAUACGGAGGAUGCGAGCGUUAUCCGGAUUUAUUGGGUUUAAAGGGUGCGUAGGCGGAUUUUUAAGUCAGCGGUAAAAUGUCCGGGCUCAACCCGGGCCGGCCGUUGAAACUGGGGAUCUUGAGUGGGCGAGAAGUAUGCGGAAUGCGUGGUGUAGCGGUGAAAUGCAUAGAUAUCACGCAGAACUCCGAUUGCGAAGGCAGCAUACCGGCGCCCGACUGACGCUGAGGCACGAAAGCGUGGGGAUCGAACAGGAUUAGAUACCCGGGUA